This 164-nucleotide non-coding RNA is filed under the name Enterocloster aldenensis. The record is from RNAcentral. Lineage: Bacteria; Bacillati; Bacillota; Clostridia; Lachnospirales; Lachnospiraceae.
CAUCGUGAGGUGUAGGCGAGAAGAAGAGAUAGCGAAAUCGUAGCCCUACGGACAGAAACCUGAUAAUAAGGCGCUUAUGGUGGGUAAGCUGGCAAAAUGCAGUAAAGCCCUAAAGGUAGCCGUAACCCAUGAGCGUAAAUCAGGAGGGUAGACGAGGAAAGAAC